Non-coding RNA from Branchiostoma floridae (Florida lancelet), 69 nucleotides. NCBI's taxonomy places the organism in Eukaryota, Metazoa, Chordata, Leptocardii, Amphioxiformes, Branchiostomatidae. The record is from Rfam.
GGGACCAUUUAUGAAAACCUCAGCUGAAAGCAGUUAACCUGUGGGCUGGGGUUGGAUGGCUAGAGUCUC